This is a long non-coding RNA of Anopheles gambiae (African malaria mosquito), 10708 nucleotides long. RefSeq lists it as uncharacterized. The record is from RefSeq and is a predicted model, not a curated record. The transcript is spliced from 6 exons. Lineage: Eukaryota; Metazoa; Arthropoda; Insecta; Diptera; Culicidae.
UUUAAAUCCACCUUGCUUUACACGCAUUGUUAUUGUGUGAGUGUGCGAAUCAUGACUACAUUGUUUACAAUCCAAGAGCUGUACAGUAAACUAAAUAAGAUUGUGCUUUCAAAUAAAAUUGGAUCGAAAAUUGAAAAAGUUUCGUAAUUUGCAUUACAUACAGUGCAUCACGGUGCCGCAUCGUACCAGCAGGUCGAUAAAUGUUGUGAAUGAAGGAACGGCGGUAUAUUAUGAAUGGUUGUUUGAGCAGCACGAUGGCAGCGAAGCGGUGAACCAACGCCACUUUUUUGGGCGGUGUAAGUAAAUGUAGUAGCCACUGAUAACCGACGAGAAUAUUUUGGUGUUGAUGAAGUGUACCUCUGUUUGGAAGGUCUAUUCUACGAACAAUUCAUAUCGCCGGUGAUUAGCUACGAGGUAAGCGGCAUAGGUGUGCUUCUUCAUGCCGUAUGAUUAAAAAUCCCUUCGCCACUGGGACACCGUGUGACGGAACCGUUCAAAACUAGCUUGAAGCUGCGCUAGCUUGUGAAGUCUCUCCCGUCGAAGGUGUGCGCAAGCUACUUUGUACCCCGGCUGCUGGUGAUCUAGGAACGGCAGCUCAGGAUUUGGUAAGAGGCAAACAGGGCAUCAACGCCUAUCGAGUGCAAUUGCAUGAAGAGUGCCUGCUGUGUAUAUGGAGCUUUUCGUUAGCAAGCAUUUAGUUUACUGGACGGGGGUAAAUCAUUAUCUAAGCCAGGAGCUACGGCGGCAUACCGAGUGGUCUCGUUUUCGUUGACGGCUGCUGGAACAAAAAUGCCAAAAGAUGUACGGUGGAAUGCAGAAACGCUAUCUGACGUUCGGGCGGGGAACGAGCAGCAGGAACUUGAAGAAGUUGUCUUGCGCUAGCCAAGAGAGGAGUCAAGUCAUAGACACCAUUAACAAUAUAUCGUUGCUAAAUGCGGAAUCGUACACGGACGCAACGCCGCAGCUGACCCUCAGUUUUGCUUUUGGAUUUGUUACUCGUGCUGUAAGAUGUGUUCAUAGUUUUUACAUAUUCCCUUACGAAAUCUUAUAAACUAUACCGGUUUCCAUUCGAAGAAAGAGGACUACAUUUAAAUUCUGCCAACGAAGGAUCGUUUUGGACAGAUUGACUAUUUUGCCGUGAAAUCUCACAUCGCCUCCUAGUUUGUACCAACAUACACACAUCGAUAUCGUUAAUCGACGUUGUAGGUAUUCAGAUUACAUAAACUGUACGAACUACAUGUUCGUCGUUCCUCUAUUUUUUUUUUUUUUGCGCGGAGUGAAACCUUCCAAAGGCACCCACGAUAUCCAACCAACCGUCCAUAUCGUGGGUAGUGUGGGAUUCAUUGAUCGUAAUCUAUCUGUAUUACAGAUGUAAACAGUUAGCUUACGAUCUAUGCGACCUCACUAAAACACUCCGCGUACCUGUUAGCUUCCUCUUGAAGAUUUGUGUGAGGGUCUUAUUUGAUCGUUAGGACGUCCUUCGCGCUGAUCUCGUACCUGUGAAAACAGUUUGAAAAAAGAAAAGAAAAGAAAAGAAAAAGAAAAGGAAAAGGAAAAAGAAAAAAAAGAAAAGGGUUCACUGUUGCUUCGUCGAGGUUUCGUCUCCUCGACGUGCCUUUUCCGAUGUCUAUGUUUGUACUACUACGUUCCUUCCUUCGUCGGUUUAUGCUUCUCAUUGGGCUUUCAUCAGUGUGCGGCCAGAUGAGAAAGAUGUUUGCGUUCAAUGUUUUAUCCUUGAUGUGCACGUUUUAUGUAUCAUUAGCGUCUAAUUAUUCUUUCGACGUCAAGGCAUCCUAGUUAUCUAGAAUGCCCUCCCCCUUCCUGCUUUGCCAUGCAUCAUCAUCCGCCCAAGGGGUUGGGACUGGGCCCGUGUACCCAAGCUUGGAUAUUUGAUAACACAUCCCAAAUAGCCAGCUCGUACCUUAUACAGUCAGUCCAAAAAGUAUUCGUCUAGCUGAAUAUUUUAAAGAAAAAGGCGAAUUAUGGCCGCAAUGCGUAUGGGGCGAUAAAAGUAAUGAUAAAGGUUUGAUAAAGAGACCAUCAAUACACAUGUACUGUUAAAAAUGAGCAUUAAAAUAGUGCAAUAACAACUAAAUUAUUUAAAAAACUAAAAAAAGUCGUUUGAUGGGCGCGCUAAAAGUAUUCGUCCAUCUAGCUUUUUAAUUAUUUACGCUGGACAAACACUACGUAGACGUGAAUUAAAUGUAUUAUUAUCAAUUUACUGGUGACUUCUUUCUAAAAUAAUGCAUUUCUGUUGUUUCAAUUGCACUUCAACCGGUCAGAGAGGCACUAAAGGCGGGGGAGUUAAAUGAUUGGAGCAUGAAAGCGCAAAUCGUAUCUUUAACUUAUGCAUAACCUAUCCUACCCAUUUUUGAAGGUUACAAAAUGUGUGGAAGGCCUCGUUUCUUCAUUUGAUCAGAGUUUGGCCAUUUUUCUGACACUAAUUGUGUGACAAAUUGCCAUGUAAGCAGCCAUCCUUGACGGUUAAUCUAACGAAAGAAGCGGUUUAAUGCCCGAAAAAUCAAAUUUUACGAAAGAAUCAGUGCAAUUUGUGAUGGCCAAUAAGGUCAGGAGAAUAGAUGGGUCACAUUUGGUUGAUGGGUCAUGCUGCAUUUCAUCGUAGCUGGUCAUGUAAUAGCUGCAAUGAGUGAGUUGUUACAAACAUGUUUUGUUUGAAUAAUACCAUAUCCAGAAAGUGGCCAAAUCUGUUAAGGUGCAUCAAAUAAUUCAGGAAUUUGUUUCAAAUUAGGCUCUACUAACAUAUUAAAACAUGUUUAAAUCGCCAAGGUCAUACGGCCGACGUCAACUGUAGCGAAAACAGUCUACUAAGAUGCAGCAACAAAAUCUCGUGUAACGGUAGCACCAUGGUGUCAUUAUACCAGGGCUCAUGGAGGAAAGGUGAGCUAGAAAAAUGAUUCAAAUUGAUAGGAGACGAGAUGGAGAAAUAUAUUCUUGCAGUUUUUAAGUACUUUGGGUGCAAGUUCUGAGAAAUUGUACUAAAAAAAUACCACAUGUUUCAAGAACAGUCAAGCUGGAGAACAUACAGAGCAUUGUCAUUUGCCCGAAACACCAAACCAACUGAAACCAAACUGAUGAAAAUGAUUUAAUAGACUCUCAAUAUGAUAUCCGUUGCCAUUUUUUUAAUGGCCACGUGGCCCGGAAAUGCAAUCUCUCUACCAGCGAAUAAUUGGAACAAGUCUUGGAGGAUGUGUGGGUCAAAACUACGCCUUUUUAAAGGUUCAAAUGAGUUCUUGCGUUGUGCAAGUAGUCAUCAAUAGUCAUAAAUGCAAUAAGAAACAAGAUCAGGACAUUUUUUUACUCCAUAACCUUUGUUUUCUUACGCAUAUUACGCCAAAAGUCUGAUGGACGAAUACUUUUUGCGCGCCCAUCAAACGACUUUUUUUAGUUUUUUAUGUAUUUUGGUUGAUAUAGUACUAUUUAAAUUCUUAUUUUUUAGCAAAACGUGUGUAUUGAUGGUCCCUUUAUCAAACCCCAUGAUACUUUUACCACCCCAUGCCUAUUGCCUAUUAGUUGAUCAUCUUUCUCAUCUUUUUCCGCGCUUUUGGAUCUUGCUGUUGUGUUUUGCGUUUGCGACUAGUGCCCUCUUUGGCUUCAUUGUUAGUUUUCAUAUUUAGAAAUCGCAUACGAACUAUCACUCUCUGUUUUGCGAAUGUUUUAUGACCUCUGCUGGUAAAUCGACUUGUUUCUGAAUAUUCACCUUUAAUCUUCGAACGAUUGCAGUUUUUUUAUGGAAAGUACCAUUUUUGUGCAAUUUCUUGUGAAUUUUCACAAAUAAUUUGUGCAACCAUCUUUUUGCCAGUGUUUAAAAAUUCGUCGCUUGGUUUGUAAAGUCCUCCCAGAGAUAGAUGCUCCACAAAUGUCGGUGGUUGACAAUAAUUGUGUUCGGAUAUUAUUUUAAAGGUUUGCAUUCCCAUGUUCAAUGCCGGAUAUUUUGCGUUAAAUUUUUUUGCGAGGUAACCCAUUAUGUACUCUAAUCCAUCUGCCUCUUGCUCGUUCAUAGAAGAGAGAUUACUACUCACACUGCUCACUAAAUCACUGUCGUCAUUGGUCACUAAUCCAUUGACCCUUUCCAUAGCGUUGAUAUCUGGGAGACUAGGAUUGAUUCCAGCUUCGGAAAACAUCGUUGCUGCUAGAAAUUCUUCGCUUUGUACAGAUUCAUAUGUGUCGUCGCCAUUCGUUUCCGUCGUUGUGAGGUAUUCAUCCUGUUCCUGAUUUUUUUUUUUCUUCGGUAUCUGUCUGAUUAUGUAAAAUACUUGGAGAUUUGCCGAGUAUCAUAAUUCUUAUUCUGUAUGGACAACUCAGCGGCGAAGGGUGAUCAUAAACCCCUCCUUUUUGUCUAAUCUGUGAGAAAAAGUUUUCUAGCACAUCUUGAUUCAACUGUCAAAGGAAAAUAAUACGCAACGAUUAAACAAAUUGUAAAACAGUUUGAUGGGUGAUUUAAUUGAUAUUUACCUUAUAUGUAGAUAUAAAUUUAAUAUCAUGUUUUUCUUUCAUGUCCUGAUACAGCAUUUGAAGAGCAGUUGUUUGCAUCAGAAUUGAUUUUUGAAAUGUCUGAAGCGAACAUUUUCCGAUAGCAAUUGAAUUAAGCAUCAACUCGCGCAUGUCGUUCAGGGCCUUUAUUUGAUUAUCGUUUCCAUUGUAUGAUUUUUAUAGUCCUCUUUAGCGAGUAAGAAUUUGAUACGCUGAACCAUAAAUCAGCUUUUUCUAUAAAGUCAGCUAGAUCUUUUGCUUCUUCACUAUGUACAUAUCUUCGCAAAGAAACAGAUACUGUGCGCGAUAAAAGUUGUGCUGCUUUUUUCACAUUUUGUUUCUCCUGGCUAGUCAUCUUGAUGUGUCCUUGGUUUAUUUUGAACACAGGAGUCAUUUCUGCAGCCAUACGACCCUCAACUAUAUGUUUAAGGGGCUCAAUUGUUAUUGUCUUAUCAUGAUACUUGAAUCCGUGAUCUACUAGCCAGUUCCUCGUCAACUUUAACAAAUGAGGCACAUCAGGAACAACAUAUACAUUUUUUUUUGUGAUGGGAUGUGGAAAAAAUGGAUUAUUAUAAUCGACUGCUCCCAAUUCUUUCCAACAGCUAGUAUUUGCAGGACAGUUAUCGCUAACUAUGGCGACUACAUUUAUAUUUUUUUCAUUUAAUUUUUCAAUAAUUUCCAUUAUGAUUUCUUUGGUCAUGCUUUGGUCAAAUCCUAUGUAGAUUGGCUGCUUCCAGUUCUUAAAUAGUCCUCUAGCCAUUACUACUUGAACAUAAUUGAACGGUCCCAUUACUUCACCUGCUGCCGGGUCAUAUUCUAAUACGCUUUCUACUUUCAUUUCAUCAAAACUUAGAACACAUUCUCGAUCUUUGUUGCUAAAUGUUGUGGCCGCGGUUCCAACUAAAUUCAAAACGUCUUCUAAGAUGCCUUGCUUUAAGUUAAUUUUUCGUCCAUACCUUUGUAAGGUGGAUGGAGCAGCCAUAGGUACAUUCAAAUCUUUUCCUACGUAACAAUAUGCCCGCGAACUAAAAUAUUUCAAGGUAAACGCCUUGCUAAUUUCCUCUUUGGUCCAUCGUACUCGCUUCUUGUGCUUAUUAAUCAAAUCAAUUUGAUUGCUAGUCAGAGUGUCUCCUAACAUUUUCUUCAUUAUUGGAACUACAUCUGAACUUUGGAUGCUUUCUUUCUGAAUGGUUUCCAAUUUUUUUUUCCAAAUUCACAUUUUGUUUCUUUAAUGCUGUAUUUUCUUGAACAACCGAAUCCAAAUGCUUUUUCAAAUUAUGGUUUGCUGCUUUUAGGUUUUUAGCCUCCUCUAGUUGAGCAGUUAAGGCAGAAAUUUUUAAUUUAAGGAAUUCAAUUUGUUCAUCUUUUUAUUCGCACAUGGCACAUUCUUUCUCACACGACUGAUAUAGCUCAUGUCGGCGUUGCUCUAGAAAAACCUCGUUCAAUUGUUCUUGCUCAUCAUUAGUUAUGUUCGAGCAUGAAAUUACAGAUGGAAUUGCUUUAAACCGAAACACAACACAAACGUAUUAUUAAAAUAAUAAAAACAGUAACAAUAAAUUAUAUACAGAAGUUUAACAGUGUUAAUAUAUUAAUAUUAAUAUAUUUAUAUUAAUGAAAAAAUAAAUAAUUAUUAAUAAAUAAGUUACACGCAUUACAUACGAGAAUCAUACACCUCAAUCGAUACUAAUCCUUUUAUGUUAUGUAAAAUGUUAUGGUUUAGAAACAAUGAUAUAAAUCCAUUCAAUGGCAAAGGUUUGGAAACAAAAAAAGUAAGUAGUACGCUUGCCAUUGGAUUUGCAUGGAUCUUUAUCAUCCGCUUCUCGUUUAAUGAUCGUCAUUUCAUUUCGAGGAUUGUCAAAGUUACAGAAAGGUGGCUAUGGAAUUUUGUAUUAGCCAUUAGGGUAGCCGUUUUUUUCAAAUUUAUUUACAAAUAGCAAAAAAUGCUUAAUAUAAUAUUAAAACACUUGAAAGCAUUCUGCACAUUCUUAAACAUUAACAUAAACUUUUUUUAGACUAAAGUUAUACAAUGUUAGUCAGCGACGUCUGGACAUUCGGACAGCUCCAUGUUCGGCAUUAUGUUGCCCUAAGUGACGCAACGUGUUGGAACAUAACCACCGGAUAGACAGAUGGCCCCACGACGACCAGAGACCGGGAGUUCAGCUUUAACCGUCGACCAGUUUGGUUCAGUUUUCUAGUAAAAUUCCAUAUUUUAAAAUUAAUAAAUUGUAAUAAUUAAAAAAAGCAACUAAAAACUAAAGCAAAUACUAUCAUUAUAUCUAAUAUACACGUACAGACACACAGGCAGACUGACAGACAGACAAAAAUAAAUGCAAGAAACAUUAUUUAACUUUGAUUAUUAAUAUUCUAAGCGACAUUUGCAUAAAAAAACUGAUUAAACAUACUUUAAAAUUGUAUGAGAAGCAAACCAUGUAAACAAGUUUUUAAUAUUAUUACCCGAUAACGUUGAAAGAUAUUUUAAAACUAUGAUAAAGCAAACUGAAAGAAACUGUGACUCUAAAGACACUACGGCAUAAACAACCAACUACUACGGCCUAAAUAGGUGGCCUAGCAGUGGUCGAAGAACUGAAAAGCAAAUGGCACCAGUUAAAGGAAGCAUGCAGCAGCCUUCCUCGUUCUACGCCAUUACAAUUUUCUUGUUUAAUAUAUAGCUACGUGGCUAGCUACCGCCAUGACUACACGUGCACCCCAGCAGCACUAACGUAACGCUAAUGUGUGGCGCAGCCGGCAACAGCAACCUGAUUCCGGCGAGUGACCAGGCGCAUCCGAUAAGAACAUCAGCACUAAUCGAAACAGUCAGCCAGCCAACCAGCCAACCAGCCAACCAGCCAGCCGGCCAGCGAGCCAGUUAACGAUCAGUCAAGCUCCAUACCGACAGCUUAGUUCUGUUUUAGCACUCCACUAGUAAAGAAAAACAUUUUUUAACUUAUUUACUCGCUCGUGUCUUUAGUUACACACUUGUCACCGAACAUUCAUUCGCGAGGAAAGCUAUUAAUUACUAAUUCUCUCUCCCCUCAUCUAGAUUUUUGUGACCGCUUAGGUUUUGAACUAGUGAUACGCGGGUAGUCCCCCCCCCAUUAGCAACUCUAAGUGGUUGGAGCAGCGAAUACGGGUCGCUCCAAAGUAGGUUCAAGAUGCCACGCAAACUGGAUGAACCAACGGAUCGGAAUCGCAUGUUUUUUUUACUCAUGCAUCUAGUAUUAAAUCUGGGACACCCGAACUCGUUCUACCAACAGAAAGGAUUUCGUAACGACUGAACUUGCGCACACGCCGCAGCCACGGGUUAGAAUUACCACCGGUCCCUUAUUCUAGAACUACAAAUGCUACGCACUGUGCGAAGAUACAUUUUCGAUUAUUAAUGUACGCAUUUAAAAGCAGAAUUCACAUAAUCUACAUUAUAAAUAAUUACUUCUAAUUAUAUCAUAUUCAAUGAAAACUAGAAAAGUACUUACCCUCACAUUUUAAUUUCCGCAAUGCUGUAGUUUUCAUCAUAGGAGCGUUGUGCAGCUGAUAGUCCUGGGGCUGAAAAUGAGAAGAACAAAUAAUGGAAAAAUUGGUAGAUUCCCAGCCUUCGCCACGGUUACAAAAUUUCUUCCAGAGACUGCGUAACACAGCAUCUUUCGGAAAUUUAUGGAACACAACAUCCAAUCCCAGCUUUUUUACUUUGCAACGGCUGUUGCUACAUGAAAUUACUGAACACGCGGUAGGCAUGACGAGUAAUAAAUGUUCAGAUAUAUAAUUUUUUUUUCUAAAAAAUGAAACACUAAAUCUGUGAUGAUAGCGCGGAUUGGGAGUUGUUUAUGCUGAGCAUGAAAAGUGAGUAGGUAAAUAUGGAAUUUAACCGCCAAAAAUGAUACCUAUACAUUUAGAGCUAGCGAAACAUAAACAAUCCACCAAUACAGGCUCAUGCGGAAAACCAUCUGUCAAAAUCGGUGUCCAAGGGGGGGGAUCGCCAAAAGCGCUAUAACUACACCACAUUAUACAUUCCACCUUGGACUCUGGUUAAUUUUUAACGACUGUAAUUUUUGAACCAUUUGUUUCGCGAGUCCGGCUAAUGUUUUUAUUUUCGUGUUUACACCUUUCGUAACAUACACAGCUAUUCUAUUGCGCCAUCUAUUGGCUCUUGUUGUAAUCUUGAGAAAACAGAAAGAUUCUGCGAAAGUUUAACUCGAAUCAGCUCUAAUGGGUCACAAAUUCGAUUUUAGAAAGCUUUGGUGCUCCUGGUGUGGUGCUAUAAAAUGGCUACUGAGCAAUUGCUACGGCUUUACCUGUGCGAAGGAUUGAUAUAACCUUUUUAAAUACAUGCAUAUUUGGGAUUUUAUAAAUAAAAUAAAGGUACACAGGACCAUACAGUGUGACUAAUCUAGUGCAAAUGAUUCUAUGUUGGCCAUUGUAACUAUUUAACGCUUAGGUUUUGAACUAGUGAUACGCGGGUAGUCCCCCCCCCCCCAUUAGCAACUCUAAGUGGUUGGAGCAGCGAAUACGGGUCGCUCCAAAGUAGGUUCAAAAUGCCACGCAAACUGGAUGAACCAACGGAUCGGAAUCGCAUGUUUUUUUUACUCAUGCAUCUAGUAUUAAAUCUGGGACACCCGAACUCGUUCUACCAACAGAAAGGAUUUCGUAACGACUGAACUUGCGCACACGCCGCAGCCACGGGUUAGAAUUACCACCGGUCCCUUAUUCUAGAACUACAAAUGCUACGCACUGUGCGAAGAUACAUUUUCGAUUAUUAAUGUACGCAUUUAAAAGCAGAAUUCACAUAAUCUACAUUAUAAAUAAUUACUUCUAAUUAUAUCAUAAUCAAUGAAAACUAGAAAAGUACUUACCCUCACAUUUUAAUUUCCGCAAUGCUGUAGUUUUCAUCAUAGGAGCGUUGUGCAGCUGAUAGUCCUGGGGCUGAAAAUGAGAAGAACAAAUAAUGGAAAAAUUAGUAGAUUCCCAGUCUUCGCCACGGAUACAAAAUUUCUUCCAGAGACUGCGUAACACAGCAUUUUUCGGAAAUUUAUGGAACACAACAUCCAAUCCCAGCUUUUUUACUUUGCAACGGCUGUUGCUACAUGAAAUUACUGAACACGCGGUAGGCAUGACGAGUAAUAAAUGUUCAGAAAUAUAAUUUUUUUCUAAAAAAUGAAACACUAAAUCUGUGAUGAUAGCGCGGAUUGGGAGUUGUUUAUGCUGAGCAUGAAAAGUGAGUAGGUAAAUAUGGAAUUUAACCGCCAAAAAUGAUACCUAUACAUUUAGAGCUAGCGAAACAUAAACAAUCCACCAAUACAGGCUCAUGCGGAAAACCAUCUGUCAAAAUCGGUGUCCAGGGGGGGGGGGGGGGGGAUCGCCAAAAGCGCUAUAACUACACCUCAUUAUACAUUCCUCCUUGGACUCUGGUUAAUUUUUAACGACUGUCAUUUUUGAACCAUUUGUUUCGCGAGUCCGGCUAAUGUUUUUAUUUUCGUGUUUACACCUUUCGUAACAUACACAGCUAUUCUAUUGCGCCAUCUAUUGGCUCUUGUUGUAAUAUUGAGAAAACAGAAAGAUUCUGCGAAAGUUUAACUCGAAUCAGCUCUAAUGGGUCACAAAUUCGAUUUUAGAAAGCUUUGGUGCUCCUGGUGUGGUGCUAUAAAAUGGCUACUGAGCAAUUGCUAUGGCUUUACCUGUGCGAAGGAUUGAUAUAACCUUUUUAAAUACAUGCAUAUUUGGGAUUUUAUAAAUAAAAUAAAGGUACACAGGACCAUACAGUGUGACUAAUCUAGUGCAAAUGAUUCUAUGUUGGCUAUUGUAACUAUUUAACUUACGACAGUUGUUUUCUACUACAUAAUAGGUUGAAUUUUCGGAUACAUCGUGUGUAGGAAUCAACAACAUUUCCAAUAUGAGUCAAGCAGCGAUAAAUCCCAAUGAAAGUGUUAAGUCUUCGGGAGGCGACGAAAUCGAAAAUGUGAAUUUAACCAUGCUACACCUUUGCAAAUUGUUUGAAGAAUACAUCAAUUUGAAAAAAAUAUUGUCCGAAAAUGAACGAGAUGUAAGACUGUAUCAGAUGCUACCGUUAUAUUGCAAUGUGGCGAAAAAUGAAAAUCUGGUGAACGAAAAAACUCCAACUUUUGGAUCGCCCCGCUUAUUAUCGUGGGAAGGACAUGCUGUAUUUUGUCAACAAAUCAGUCAGUUGUUAGCCAGGGAAAUCAAAACAAGGGGCCCCGUGCUAGUCGAA